GAGGGUAUAGCUCAGUGGUGGAGUACGUGCCUAGCAUGCACGAGGUCCUGGGUUCAAUCCCUGGUACCUCCA
Molecule: transfer RNA, 72 nt
Filed under: Camelus bactrianus (Bactrian camel)
Lineage: Eukaryota; Metazoa; Chordata; Mammalia; Artiodactyla; Camelidae
Also listed under: 2 other names
Rfam family: tRNA
About the family: Transfer RNA (tRNA) molecules are approximately 80 nucleotides in length.
Source: Rfam by way of RNAcentral